Juglans microcarpa x Juglans regia is the source of this 249-nucleotide long non-coding RNA. RefSeq lists it as uncharacterized. The transcript has 3 exons. Lineage: Eukaryota; Viridiplantae; Streptophyta; Magnoliopsida; Fagales; Juglandaceae. The record is from RefSeq and is a predicted model, not a curated record.
AAAGCUCACAAAGAGAGUUGAUCCAAGUAUCAUCGCAAAGGCAAAAUAAUAGUAGGGUCGGGAUAUCCCAACCCUCCAAACUGGACGCGAAGUUCUUCCCUCGUCCGGCUCUCUACAGGGGAAUCUUCACUCACCACGUCCCCUAAUUUUGAGAGCGGUUGACCCCCAUUCCCCUUCACCAUGUAUGGCCAAUAAACUCCUCGCUUUACUUCCUCCAAUCCCUCCAAGCUUCUAUGCGAACAAUCAAAU